This 447-nucleotide ribosomal RNA is filed under the name uncultured bacterium. RNAcentral describes it as "bacterial SSU rRNA". It matches the Rfam family "Bacterial small subunit ribosomal RNA", at positions 28 to 457 of the family's 1533-position model. The record is from RNAcentral.
GAUGAACGCUGGCGGCGUGCUUAACACAUGCAAGUCGAGCGAAGCAGUUAAGUUGAUUUCUUCGGAUUGAUUCUUAACUGACUGAGCGGCGGACGGGUGAGUAACGCGUGGGUGACCUGCCCCAUACCGGGGGAUAACAGCUGGAAACGGCUGCUAAUACCGCAUAAGCGCACAGAGCUGCAUGGCUCGGUGUGAAAAACUCCGGUGGUAUGGGAUGGGCCCGCGUCUGAUUAGGCAGUUGGCGGGGUAACGGCCCACCAAACCGACGAUCAGUAGCCGGCCUGAGAGGGCGACCGGCCACAUUGGGACUGAGACACGGCCCAAACUCCUACGGGAGGCAGCAGUGGGGAAUAUUGCACAAUGGGGGAAACCCUGAUGCAGCGACGCCGCGUGAGCGAAGAAGUAUUUCGGUAUGUAAAGCUCUAUCAGCAGGGAAGAUAAUGACGG